UACGUAGGGAGCAAGCGUUGUCCGGAAUCAUUGGGCGUAAAGCGCGCGUAGGCGGCCCUGUAAGUCCGUUGUGAAAGUCAAAGGCUCAACCUUUGAAAGCCGAUGGAUACUGCAGGGCUGGAGUCCGGAAGAGGCGAGUGGAAUUCCUGGUGUAGCGGUGGAAUGCGCAGAUAUCAGGAGGAACACCGAUGGCGAAGGCAGGUCUCUGGGCAUUAACUGACGCUGAGGAGCGAAAGCAUGGGGAGCGAACAGG
This 253-nucleotide ribosomal RNA is filed under the name uncultured bacterium. RNAcentral describes it as "partial 16S ribosomal RNA". It matches the Rfam family "Bacterial small subunit ribosomal RNA", at positions 524 to 776 of the family's 1533-position model. The record is from RNAcentral.